RNAcentral lists this non-coding RNA (46 nucleotides) under Trichobilharzia regenti. Lineage: Eukaryota; Metazoa; Platyhelminthes; Trematoda; Strigeidida; Schistosomatidae. The record is from RNAcentral.
AUACUGAUGAGGAGUCCCAGACCAGGACGAAACAGCUUUCUAGUAC